AGGGUGUUAGGAUAACCUCAGACCAAGGGCCUUCAAAGCCCUAAGCGGGAGUGGAAACCUCCCAGACCCUG
RNAcentral lists this transfer RNA (71 nucleotides) under Scarus schlegeli (yellowband parrotfish). Its description in RNAcentral is "tRNA-Trp". It matches the Rfam family "tRNA". Rfam says of the family: Transfer RNA (tRNA) molecules are approximately 80 nucleotides in length. Their secondary structure includes four short double-helical elements and three loops (D, anti-codon, and T loops). Lineage: Eukaryota; Metazoa; Chordata; Actinopteri; Labriformes; Labridae. The record is from RNAcentral.